Molecule: ribosomal RNA, 478 nt
Filed under: uncultured bacterium
Lineage: Bacteria
Description: partial 16S ribosomal RNA
Rfam family: Bacterial small subunit ribosomal RNA
Source: RNAcentral
GACGAACGCUGGCGGUGUGCUUAACACAUGCAAGUCGAACGGUAAGGCCCUUCGGGGUACACGAGUGGCGAACGGGUGAGUAACACGUGGGUGAUCUGCCCUGCACUUCGGGAUAAGCCUGGGAAACUGGGUCUAAUACCGGAUAGGACUCCGGACUGCAUGGUCUGGGGUGGAAAGCUUUUGCGGUGUGGGAUGGGCCCGCGGCCUAUCAGCUUGUUGGUGGGGUGAUGGCCUACCAAGGCGACGACGGGUAGCCGGCCUGAGAGGGUGACCGGCCACCCUGGGACUGAGAUACGGCCCAGACCCCUACGGGGGGCAGAAGUGGGGAAUAUUGCACAAUGGGCGCAAGCCUGAUGCAGCGACGCCGCGUGAGGGAUGACGGCCUUCGGGUUGUAAACCUCUUUCAGCAUCGACGAAGCGAAAGUGACGGUAGGUGCAGAAGAAGCACCGGCUAACUACGUGCCAGCAGCCGCCGUAA